Molecule: ribosomal RNA, 1226 nt
Filed under: metagenome
Description: bacterial LSU rRNA
Rfam family: Bacterial large subunit ribosomal RNA
Source: RNAcentral
UGAAUACGAGACGCUAAGGCGUCGAAGUAGUGUAUGUCAUACUUCCAAGAAAAGCUUGCACUGUCAUAGAUAAAAAACGCCUGUACCAUAACCGACACAGGUGGGUAGGUAGAGUAUACUAAGGGGCGCGAGAUAACUCUCUCUAAGGAACUCGGCAAAAUAACUCCGUAACUUCGGGAGAAGGAGUGCCUUAUUCGUAAGGUUGCAAUAACAAGAUCCAAGCAACUGUUUAUCAAAAACACAGGUCUCCGCUAAGUCGUAAGACGAUGUAUGGGGGCUGACGCCUGCCCAGUGCCAGAAGGUUAAAGAAGUUGGUUAGCAAUUGCGAAGCUGAUAACUGAAGCCCUGGUGAACGGCGGCCGUAACGAUAACGGUCCUAAGGUAGCGAAAUUCCUUGUCGGGUAAGUUCCGACCCGCACGAAAGGCGUAAUGGUUUGGAUACUGUCUCGGAGAGGGGCUCGGUGAAAUAGACUUGUCUGUGAAGAUGCGGACUACCUGCACCAGGACAGAGAGACCCUAUGAAGCUUUACUGUAACUUGAAAUUGAAAUUGGACUUUAUUCGCGCAGUAUAGGUGGGAGGCGUUGAUUAUAAUCUUGUGGGAUUAUUGGAGCCAUCAGUGAGAUACCACUCUUGUAAUGUUAGAUUUCUAACUUUGAAUCAUUAUCUGGUCAAAGAACAGUCUCAGGCGGGCAGUUUGACUGGGGCGGUCGCCUCCUAAACGGUAACGGAGGCGUACAAAGGUUUCCUCUGAACGGUUAGAAAUCGUAUCUAGAGUGUAAAGGCAUAAGGAAGCUUGACUGUGAGACCUACAAGUCGAGCAGGGACGAAAGUCGGUCUUAGUGAUCUGACGGUACUGAGUGGAAAGGCCGUCACUCAACGGAUAAAAGUUACUCUAGGAUAACAGGCUGAUCUCCCCCAAGAGUUCACAUCGACGGGGAGGUUUGGCACCUCGAUGUCGGCUCAUCGCAUCCUGGGGCGGUAGUACGUCCCAAGGGUUGGGCUGUUCGCCCAUGAAAGCGGUACGCGAGCUGGGUUCAGAACGUCGUGAGACAGUUCGGUCCAUAUCCGGUGUAGGCGUUAGAAUAUUGAGAGGAGCCUUCUUUAGUACGAGAGGACCGAGAAGGACAUACCUCUGGUGUACCAGUUAUCGUGCCAACGGUAAACGCUGGGUAGCUAUGUAUGGAGUGGAUAACCGCUGAAAGCAUCUAAGUGGGAAGCCCACCUC